This 75-nucleotide transfer RNA is filed under the name Flavobacterium sp. LM5. RNAcentral's name for it is "tRNA-Glu". It matches the Rfam family "tRNA". Rfam says of the family: Transfer RNA (tRNA) molecules are approximately 80 nucleotides in length. Lineage: Bacteria; Pseudomonadati; Bacteroidota; Flavobacteriia; Flavobacteriales; Flavobacteriaceae. RNAcentral also lists the same sequence under 1 other name. The record is from RNAcentral.
GGUCCGUUCGUCUAGGGGUUAGGACGCCAAGAUUUCGUCUUGGUAACAGAGGUUCGAUUCCUUUACGGACUACAA